CCGCGUGUGUGAUGAAGGUCUUCGGAUUGUAAAGCACUUUCGACCGGGACGAAAAUCUGUUGGCUAACAUCCAACGGCCUGACGGUACCGGGAGAAGAAGCACCGGCUAACUCUGUGCCAGCAGCCGCGGUAAUACAGAGGGUGCAAGCGUUGUUCGGAAUUAUUGGGCGUAAAGCGCGUGUAGGCGGCAUUGCAAGUCGGGUGUGAAAGCCCUCAGCUCAACUGAGGAAGUGCGCCCGAAACUGCUUUGCUUGAGUGCCAGAGAGGGUGGCGGAAUUCCCCAAGUAGAGGUGAAAUUCGUAGAUAUGGGGAGGAACACCGGUGGCGAAGGCGGCCACCUGGAUGGUAACUGACGCUGAGACGCGAAAGCGUGGGUAGCAAACAGGAUUAGAUACCCUGGUAGUCCACGCUGUAAACGAUGAGAACUAGGUGUCGUGGGUGUUGACCCCCGCGGUGCCGUCGCUAACGCAUUAAGUUCUCCGCCUGGGAAGUACGGCCGCAAGGACUA
RNAcentral lists this ribosomal RNA (508 nucleotides) under uncultured Pseudomonadota bacterium. RNAcentral's name for it is "bacterial SSU rRNA". It matches the Rfam family "Bacterial small subunit ribosomal RNA", at positions 397 to 897 of the family's 1533-position model. The record is from RNAcentral. Lineage: Bacteria; Pseudomonadati; Pseudomonadota.